Molecule: ribosomal RNA, 264 nt
Filed under: uncultured bacterium
Lineage: Bacteria
Description: partial 16S ribosomal RNA
Rfam family: Bacterial small subunit ribosomal RNA
Source: RNAcentral
UUCCUACGGGAGGCAGCAGUGGGGGAUAUUGCACAAUGGGGGAAACCCUGAUGCAGCGACGCCGCGUGUAGGAAGACGGUCCUCUGGAUUGUAAACUACUGUCCCCAGGGACGAAGAUGACGGUACCUGGGGAGGAAGCUCCGGCUAACUACGUGCCAGCAGCCGCGGUAAUACGUAGGGAGCGAGCGUUGUCCGGAAUUACUGGGUGUAAAGGGAGCGUAGGCGGGGAUGCAAGUUGAGGGUUAAAUCUACCGGCGCAACUGG